AGAAGGACCUAGUAUGAAUCUAGAUGGAUCUAAAUCAACGAAAGGUUUGAGUAUAGUAUAGUCAAGAGAUGGAUGAGAAGGAAGAGGAGGAACCAAAGACAUUGUUCAAAAGAGAAGAGCCGAGAGAAUCGGUUACGAAAAGAGAAGAAGGAUGAAGGAGACAAAGAAGAGGUUUUAGUGAAGGAUAUGAGGAAAAGAAAUAAGAAUUGGAAGAGACAAAAAGAAUGGGAAGCUUGAGGAAGAAGAAAAGGCCGUCGUAUUGAACUGUCGCUUCGAUUACGAGUCCCAAGAUCGGUUGUAAUGAUGAAUAGACAGCGGCAAUUAAGAUGAGUUAAUUAAUGCCGCACAUGAGACAAAAGUAGAGAAUGCGAUCGGGGCCGUAAAGAAGAGAAUAAACGGCUUAGAUUAAACCGUACAGAAGAUCGUAGUCAGAGAAUUUGAAUUUGAUCGGACCGAGAAAUACG
RNAcentral lists this long non-coding RNA (464 nucleotides) under Ananas comosus (pineapple). RNAcentral's name for it is "long non-coding RNA (ACOM_LNC035402)". The record is from RNAcentral. Lineage: Eukaryota; Viridiplantae; Streptophyta; Magnoliopsida; Poales; Bromeliaceae.